UUAGCCAGGCGUGGUGGCGCAUGUCUGUAAUCCUAGCUACCCCGGAGGCUGAGGCAUGAGAAUCACUUGAACCUGGGAGGCGGAGGUUGCAAGCCAAGAUCACACCACUGCACCCCAGCCUGGGUGACAGAGUGAGACUCCGUUUCCAGACAAAAACAAAAACAAAAAACAAAAAUUAGCUGGGCGUGGUGGCACAUGCUUGUAAUCCCAGCUAGUAGGGAGGCUAAGGCACACGAAUUGCUUGAGCCUGGGAGGUGGAGGUUGCAGUGAGCCGAGAUCGCACCACUGCACUCCAGCCUGGGCGACAGAGAAAGACUGUUUUAAAAAACAAAAACGAAACAAAACAAACCUAACCAAAAACAAAUCCACAAACAAGCCAGAACUUGGGGUGCCAGGUGUAGGGAAGGGGGCUGUGUCAGGGCCACGCAUGGCUUUUGCCCUUGGGGGUUAAUGGAAGGAGUCUUUUCACAGAGGGAGGAGCAUGUGCCAAGGCCCUGGGGCAGGGAAGUCUGCUGGUGUGAGCAGAGCAGGAGGUGCAGAGAGGAGGGGUGAGGCUCAGAGGGAACAAGGGCUGCGUUGGCUCUGGGAGGGUCUUGCAUUUUCUGAGUGAGAUGGGACCUUGGGAGGUUCUGAGUGGAGUGUGAUCUGCCUCAGCUCAGCUGCUACGUGAAGACGGGGCUGUGCGGGGCAGGAGGGACAGGCUCACCACCAGCGGAGAAGGCAGGGGGCUCUGCUUCUGCAGGGGAGCCUGGCCAAGGUUCGCUCUCAGCCCCCAUCUGGCUGCCCCAGGAGUCUCCCUGGUCUCUCUCUGGGAGGCCUGGGCCCCUGGGAGCUGCUGCCUCAGGGAACCCUGGUUUUGCUGCCCUGUGAGUCAGGUCUCCAGGCUUCACCCAUAGCCCCGACCCCACGGCUGCCUGGGGCCUCUGGGGAGGGGGAGGGUGGAGUGGCCGCCAGGCUGGCGGGCUGGCAGGGCAGCAUUUCUGGGAAUUGUGUGGGGGAAGUGCAUUGUUAGAGCAAGCCUGGAGCAGGCCGCCAGGGCCGCCACUGGCCUCUGGGGAUGCCUCUUGCCUCCCCCAGCGUUGCUUCUGUGUGAGGGAGCUGGGACUGGGCCAAGGCUAUGGGCUGGGCUGGGGACUUUCCGAGAGACGCUGCCCUGGGCAGGUGGCUCUUCCCAUUCUACAGACUGGGCGACUGAGGUCCAGAGAGCCGGGUGCUGCAGUGGCAUAGCCAGGAGCAGUGGGCCCAGUCCCCAUCCCCUGCCCUCAUCUGCUGGUGCAUGGGACAGGGGAGCACUUGCUGGACCUAAGCCCCGUCGCUGCCCUGCCGGUGGGCGUCCAAGGGAGGCCUGAGUGGGGUCCACUGGGGUCACAGCUCGGCAGAGCCCCCAAGGUGGACUGGAGGGUCUGAUGGAAAGGGGCGCAGAGACGGCGCCUAGGUGCUUGGGCUGUGGGAGGGCUGCCCAUGGGGUGGCAGGGGGUGGGGGCUCCUGGGGCUGCAGGAUCCCCCAGCCCCCGCUCUGUGGUUGCAGGAAGCAAGGGGGGCUCCGUGUGAGUUUGGCAGCAGGAGCCUUCCCACCGCGGUGCAGCCUCAGCCAGAGGGGAAGCAUGGAUAGCGGCCACUGGGGUCAUGGCCGGCUUUGGGCGGGCAGGGGGCAGGGGACACAAAUAGAAAAAUAAAUGGCCUGAGUUUCCGACGUUUCCUGGACUCAGGAUGGGGGAGGGGCAGGCCUUUGGGCCAAAGGUGCGGCCAGCCCUGUGGGGUAGACUGGGGGUUUCUCCCCAGAUGCCUGUUGGGGCCAGGGCUGCCCCCUCACACCUCCAAGGUGGGUCACAUCUCCCCCUUAGAGCCCUCAGGACAGGGCCCUGUUGCCCACAGAGAAUUCCUAAAGGCCUAUCCAUAUGUCCCUGUCCAUAAAGACAUCGAGUGUGGAGGACACCCUGGAGGAGGAGACGGAACCCUCCUGUUUGCUGGGGCUCGGCCCCCGCUGAGGCUGGCCGCAGGUGACCACAGAGACCUAGCCUGGUGUCGUGCGGCCGCUGGGUCUGUGAAGGGGAGUGAGGCACUCCUCACCCCGUGGCAGCCCCUAAUCAGGAGGCCUCUCCCCUCCACCUGCACGUCGUGUGGCUGUGGCUCCCAGGACGAGACAGGCCCAGCGCCUGGAGUGGGUGAGUGAAUGUCUCUCUCCUCCGUGGGCACUGCCUCCGCUGUGAGCCACCCUUCAGGCUACGUGCAUUUCCGACUGUUCUCAGGGUUUAACCGAAACCGAACAUUAACUGUAGCCCUAACGCGGCUGAGUGGGACCCAGGCCUUGCCCUCCGGGCUGUGUGAGAGACAGACACUCGCUAACCAGUCUGCGGUGGCUCCCCGUGUGUGCGAGGCUCCCGCCUGUGUGUGUGCGUGUGCGUGCGCCUGCACACGGGGGAGGGAAAUUCUUCAGCUGCCGAGGGGGGGAGUAGGGGCCGGAGCAGCACCCUGCGGGGAGGCCCCACAGGAGAAUCAACAGUUCUGAUGUUGUCAGCCUCUGGGUGCAAAUUCUGAGGGCACAGGAGCGUCUGGUGGCCCUGAGCAGCUUGCUGGGGAAGCUCCGUGGAGGAGGAAGUCCCGAGGUCGGAUGAUAUCAAAACCCAAGUGCUUUUUUACCAAUCUGCUGAACAAGAUGUGACCCACUGAGCAGCCUCUGCAGUUCCAGCAGCAGCGAGUGUCGGGGUACGAGGCAGUUCCCAUCUGUGCUAGGUCAGCCACGGGCCCAGCUGACCAGAUUUGGUUCAUGGCCUCAUUCAUAACUGAACGAACGACACCUUUCUGCUAGAGGAACUUGCAGCUCUCUGGGGUUAGUUCUCCUCUGUGCUGUCUGGGCUGCACCUCCUGCCCAGGAGGGGCCUCUCUGUGCUCUAGCCCUUACCAGCAUCUCAGGAUCUGCAGUCCUGAUACUUGGAGGUCUCCCCCACCCCCAGCUUGAGGGCUGGCUUCCUUUCGGUGGUCUUCAAAUCAACUCACCCCCGGCCGUUGGAGAAGCCCGUGUGUCUGGCCAGGCCGGCUCCAUGGAUGUGUCCAGUGUCUUCAUGGAUGGUGGGAACCAGCUUUGAAACCCUGGCCACCCGGACCUCCGAAGCCAUACUUUCUGGGGUUCCUGCACAAGGGCAGUUCCAGUGCGGCUUCUACAGGACCCUGGCCAGCUCCUUGGUUGUCAGCCAUUGAGAGAGUGGUUGAAGGCUGGGUGGUUCUAGCCUCCCCUCGUGCCUCUGAUGAGGCUGGACCCUUCAAGUCUUCAUAUAUGCCCAAACUAUGGGAUUCUGACCACAAGGACUUGCUUGGAUUGUCUAGGCUGGAAGCUAUGUCCUCAGCUCACUGUGAGGGGCAGAGUCAGUCAGUAUGGAAACCGUGUUCAUCUAUUAAUAAUAAUAUAAUAAUAUAAUAUCAUGGGGCCUCUGUCUUAGAAAGGCUUUGCUCCUCACGAGGAAUUCUAUGCUUUUUCCCUAUGAUUGAGUAUUUUUUUUUUUGUGAUGGAGUCUCACUCUGUUGCCAGGCUGGAGUGCAGUGGCAUGAUCUCGGCUCGCUGCUAGCUCCGCCUCCUGGAUUCAAGCGAUUCUCCUGCCUCAGCCUCCUGAGUAGUUGGGAC
Molecule: long non-coding RNA, 3619 nt
Organism: Pongo pygmaeus (Bornean orangutan)
Lineage: Eukaryota; Metazoa; Chordata; Mammalia; Primates; Hominidae
Exons: 3
Source: RefSeq, a predicted model, not a curated record